UUGCGAAACGAGUCCCGGCUCCUCGCGCUCUCCUCGGCAAGGCACCCCGCACCCCGAGCGCCGCUCCUUCUGCCCCAGAGCCCCGGCGCAGGAAGGAGCGAGCAGCACCCAUUUCCUGUGGGUUUCAUCACCACCCCCACCCUGCUUCCAUCUGUUGAAGAGAUCAGCCACGAAGUUAACUUGCAAUUACACUACCCGUGAAAUUACACCAACACUUCCAGUGGCAUUACUAAGCAUUAAAGCGAACACCCUGGUGAGAUAAAUGCGAGAGGGGGGAAUUUGCCCCUUGCAUAAACGGGUUGUUGGCAACCUCAGUUUUAAAGAGAUAAACAACUGCUUCCAUUUUAUGAGGAUUUCUGAUGGAACACUGUCCAUAAACCUGCAGUAUUUUCUGUGCUCCUAUGAGAAAAACCUAGCUCUAGAUCUUCAUCUCACCAGUGUAUCAUUCUGGAAGAUGAGAAUGCUGCCUGGGCAGAGGCAGUAAGAGAUCCCAUUUCUAAACUGUGUUCUUGAAGUACAAUAAUAGAUGGCCCUCACACUAACUCUGAGCCAGAUCUUGCUUUUUCUGUGUUUCAUUUUCUAAAAUACCUUAAUAGGAGGGAAAGCAUAAACCCUGUAUUUAUUCCAAGAAAACAGAAAUCCCAUAGUCAUCAUCUUUAGUACAGUUCUGUUUUCCAGGGACUGGAAAUAAUACUGUAACACUUACAAGAGGCAGCUUAAAAUCCAGAAGAUUGCAGAAUGUAUUCCAGUAUUUUCAGAUUCUGCAACAGCUUCUUUUUCUUUCCUUUGACACGCUGUAAGAGGAAGACAUCAAGAGUUACCAACUCUCCCACCUGUGGGGCAGAAGUCUUUGUGAGAAGCACCACCCAGUUAUUAUCAUCAGAGCUUGACAAGAUGCAUCCAAGCAACUGUUUUAACUUUCCCUCAUAUGAAGAUCUAGGAAGACAGUGGUCAAGGAAGUACUUGGUAAUUCUCCAUUUUAACAGGAAGAAAUAAGAGUAAAAAUAUGCUUUUCUGGAUCUGAAGACUCUUAGUUAUGGUGGCUUUCUACAUGGAAGGUUUUCAUCCUAACAUAUUUUUUCUUUAUUAACAAACAGAAAUGACAGAAUCAUAGGUAACUCCUAUUAAAAAAUUCCUGGGGGAGGCAAAGCACUGCUUAUAACAGAGUUAUUGCUGCAGCCUUAAUUAGGGCACGGUGCCAAAUACCUCCAUGAUGAAAAACAAAUCGAUGUAAUGAUGCUUUCCCAUUACCUUUUUUUGGAGUAAUUAAAUGUCACAAAAUAUUUUGCAUACUUCCUACUGGGGACCAGGGCAUAUGGGACUGAUUUACAGCAGAAGUCAAAAGGAUUUUCUUUAAAACCAGUGCAGGCAAACAGACAGCUUCUGGAACUGAAAGUUAAAAUAUAUUUUAAUUUUCACCACAGCAAAUGGUGAAGCACUUAUUGACUGUAAAAUUUGAAAUACAGUGUAGAAUCUGACUAGAUUAACUUAGUAUAUCUACUUCCCUUUUUCACCCAAACAUACAUUGUUUCACCUAAACUGAAACUGCUCUGGAAAUUCAAACCCUGUCAUUUAGACUUGUACUCUAAGAUCCUGCAUGUUUAAAGAGACUUAUGUCCACACACAUUGACAGCUGAAGAAUCCGCCUCUGUUGAAUUCAGUACGUUUUUCACUGGCUUUCGUUCAGCAGGUCACAUCAUGAGAAUCUUACUCACUUUUUCCUCUAUUUCCACUCAGGCACGCUUUCAGAGGGGUUUAUUCAACACAAGGGCUGAUUAAAUACUGAGCAAACA
Long non-coding RNA from Vidua chalybeata, 1793 nucleotides. RefSeq lists it as uncharacterized. The record is from RefSeq and is a predicted model, not a curated record. Lineage: Eukaryota; Metazoa; Chordata; Aves; Passeriformes; Viduidae. The transcript has 3 exons.